Molecule: RNA transcript, 1737 nt
Organism: Spinacia oleracea (spinach)
Lineage: Eukaryota; Viridiplantae; Streptophyta; Magnoliopsida; Caryophyllales; Amaranthaceae
Exons: 3
Source: RefSeq, a predicted model, not a curated record
CAAAUCCUCUGUGUUCAAAGCAUUAACCAUUGGCUUCUGUGAACUUAUAAAUAUUGAGGAAAUGAGGAGGGGAACGAUUUGGAUAUAAGGCUUCUGUUUUAAAAAUAAAUCAUAUUAUUUUGUGAUAAUUUGUAUCCUUGGAGUGUUCUGCCCUCCAAGUGUUUGAUGAAAUGCCUCAAUGGUUUUUUUUUCCAUAUUUUGUAUGUUUUAUCAUACCCUUUAAGUGUUUGAUGAAUUGCCUCAACUAAUACUUGUUUCUUUAUGUCUGUUGAUUAUCAGAUUGUAUGCUAGCAUGGAGUCGGAUCACGGAGUAUCAACUCAAAGUUCAGUUCAGAUGACCCGUGAAUUAAAAGGCAUGAUUGUUGGUGCUGUGGCAGCCAUUAUUGGUCAUGUUCUUGUUUUUCUUGAAGUUUAUAUGUCUAGAAAUAGAGGUCCUAGAAUAAUAAGGCAACCUUACGUGAAUAGGGAUAGUUUGAGGGAGGCUAAUAUCAAUAGUAUUCUAUAUUGUGGUGAUACUCAUUGUCUAGGACAGAUUCGUAUGAGACCCGCUGCUUAUUUUAGCUUGUGCAAUAUUUUAGUUAAGAGGGGACUACUGUGGGAGUGUCGUCAAAUGAGUGUGAAUGAGCAAGUACUUGUAUUUUUACACUUGUUGGGACAUAAUGUAAGGUUUCGAGCAAUUGGAGGGAGGUUUUUUAGGUCAACUUGGACCAUACAUCAGUAUUUUCACAUUGUGCUUAAAGCUAUCCUUCGAUUGUACACAGAAUUUGUGAAACCACCAACAACUACACUUCAACCAGAAAUCCAAAAUAACCCUAGGUUCUUUCCAUGGUUUGAGGAUUUCAUAGGAGCUAUAGAUGGAACACAUGUACGUGCUUCUGUUCCUAUUGAGAUGCAAGAUAGAUUUCGCGGUAGGAAGGGUGGGACGACACAAAAUGUAUUAGCUGCUGUUGAUUUUGACCUUAAGUUUACUUAUGUUCUUGCUGGUUGGGAGGGUUCUGCGCAUGAUUCGAAGGUCUUAGGUGAUGCACUAAGAAGGGGGUUCUACGUAUUUGUUGUCUCUUACUUUUUGUAGUUGUAGAUUGAUUGAUAAUUUGGUAAUGAUUUGCGAUUUAUUUACAUAUAUAGGAAAGUAUUAUCUGGCUGACGGAGGGUACGGUGAUCGGAAAGGUUUUAUGCCUCCAUUUAGGAAAGUCCGUUAUCAUUUGAAAGAGUAUACUAACAACCCUCCUGAAAAUGAAAAAGAGUUGUUCAAUCUUCGCCAUUCUUCACUUAGAAUGUGUGUAGAGAGGGCAUUUGGAGUACUGAAGAAGAGGUUUCGUGUCUUGGAUGCCGAGCCAUUUUGGCCAUUUAAAACACAAGUUGAUGUGGUUCUAGCUUGUUGUGUGAUACACAACUACCUUAGAGGCGUAGAUCCAAAUGACCCAAUUGCAAGAGAAGUUGACAUGGAGAUGAAUUCACAAGAUGCAAGAGCACCACUUACUCGAAGGGAAGUGAGAGAAGAAACAAAAGAGUGUGUGAAAAAGAGAAAUUCCAUAUCAUUGGCGAUGUGGACUGCAUAUAAGGCAUAUAAGAAGCCUCGGACAAUGUAAACUCUUAUGUGAAAAAGGAAGAAAAGAAAGCGAAUUUUCGUUGGUCAAAACCGAUGUCCAAGGUAUUGCUGGAAUUUCUUGCUGAAGAAGUGAGAAAAGGAAACAGACCAAACAACUCUUUCAGAACUAGUUCUUUUGUAGCAGCUGC